This is an RNA transcript of Oncorhynchus keta (chum salmon), 3165 nucleotides long. It is a transcript of the gene named microtubule associated tumor suppressor 1b, with no coding region annotated. The transcript has 7 exons. NCBI's taxonomy places the organism in Eukaryota, Metazoa, Chordata, Actinopteri, Salmoniformes, Salmonidae. The record is from RefSeq and is a predicted model, not a curated record.
GUAUACAGCAAAAAGGGCGUUAUUGUCACCAUACAAGGUGAAUUAUGGGCAUUAUUCCGUCGGAGUUUAAAUGCUCGUUCACGCUUGUACAGUUUUACAACAGGUCUGUUUUAUAACGGGAAAAAUGCGUAAAUGUUUCGUUUUUUUAUGGCCACCACAGCAUUUCAAAACUGUCAAACAAGUCAGUUGGAUGGAUAGUUGGUUUGGCUGGCUAGCUAGCUAAUUAGCAGCUGGCGAGCUGGAUGCUCUGAGUUCAAGGUUGAGCGGAGAAGCCUAAAGCAAGAGCCAAGAGAGGACACCUGAGAUGACAGAGGACGAGCGCCGAUGCUCGGGAGUACUACAAGGUUACUUUGGACAAUUGUCGACGUACGAGGUUUGCAGAGGAGGAGCCCUGAAGAGUAUGGACUCCACUCCAGUGACUGAACUAAAGGGUCAGUUGAAGGGGCCUUAGAAUGGGACCACUCCUCACUUCCUCACUUGUCCGAAAGUGCACUUCAAUAUCUACCUCUCAGUGACUCCUAGGCCUAUAGGGACGGCUGACUACUUAUCACUGGUAUUGCGCUGAUCUGAGUCAGCUUUAAUCAAUGACAAACCUUGCUCAGUAGACGUCUGCCUACAUAGGUAAACAGUUGUAAGCAUGGAGUUCUCCGUGGUUUGACCUUGUUUUGAGGUCUUUAGCAGUUAGCGACAUCAGCUUUCCCCACACACUCCCGGAGACCAGAGAUGAGUGUGUCUCAGCCCGGGGAACGCGUCCCCGUCGGGGGCAUGAAUGGCUCCGGAAUGAGGCUCCCCCUCCUCCGCACCGGCGACCAAAAUGGCAAUGCUUUCCCUGUCUCCUCUUCCUCCUCCUCUUCCUCCCCAGACUCCCUGCAGAGUCUGAGCAGCCUGGACGUCGACAUGGAAUGUGUGAUGUCGACCCAAAUCAAAAUGGCCGCUAUCUCACCAGCUGGGGAACUGCCUCAGACUGAGUUCUCUGAAUCCAACGACAACUCGGUGUCCGUCUACCUGGACGCUGAUGAGGACUCCUGGAACGACAACCUGACCCUCGCCAUGAGCAUUGCUGGGAUACGGGAGCAUAGUAACGGUAGCCAAGGUGAUCUUCAUGACAACGUUAGCAGUGUGGCGAGCAACAGCGGUGGGAGAAGGGACUCUUCCCCGGACUCGGCGGCCACAGAGAUCCCAGGUGACGAGGGUGAUGUUGAAGAUGAUGAGGAAGGGUUUUUCCUGUCGGUGAGCUCGGACAUGGUGAUGAGGAGAAUCAGCCUGAUCGACUCGGAGCGCCGCCCCAGCAGCGGGGUGUCCAUCCUAGAGGACUCGGACACGGCCUCCCCCUUCACCACGGCUCCCAUCCAGGCUCCACUCUCCGCCCCAUUGCCUGACCUCUGUAAGGGCCUUGAGGGGAGGAAGAGACCUCAUGCUGGGACCAUCACCAUGGAACUCCAGAACCUCCAGACUGGGGCUAGCAGCUCACCGGGUCUGCCCGAUAGACAGGCACUUCAGGUGGGGGUGGAUCUGCCCGAGGAGGGCUGCACUCUGGAUGUUCUCCCCAUGGUGGAGGCAGUGGACACCGAGCCUAUUGUGGCACUAGAGGUUAUUCUCAGUGAAACUAUAGUGUCUCCAGAUUCUGAAGGCUUCACUGUAGUCUCCCAGACCUCCACCUCAGUACAAGUCUCCAAGGGUGUGGAUUUGGCAGUGUCCCCCUUUACCGUUCCCCAGUCUCCAAACAAAGGGUCCAAAGGUGCGAGCCCUGCUUUCCGCAAGACCAAGGAACACCCGUGUGCAACUCGGGUCAAACCGAACGCCGCCAUCGCCAAGACAGCGGUCACCACGACAUCCAAACCUGGUAGGACGGACGUCAAGAGGUUCCCCAAACCCGACCUGAAGAACGUCAAGUCUAAGGUCAUGUCCAGGCCCGCCUCUACAACCAGAACAGCCAAUCAGACGCAGGGAAAAACUGCUCCGGCCAAUGAAAAGAAAGCCCCAGACGGAGUCAAAAGGCAAAGGUCGUCUUUGGGUCAAACUAAAGUAGCUUCGCUGAAGCCGAGCCCCAAACCCAGACCCAAUCAAAACACAGAGCCCAGAGUCUCUAACCAAUCUGAGAAGAGGAAGAAGGGCACUUUAGUCAAUGGCAUUCGCUCCACCUCCAGCAGCUCUCUGGGUUCAGAGUUGGCUGUGGAUGGGCACCGUUGGACGCCUGGGGAGGGUCUCCCAAAUGGAGAAGAGGGUACUACAGGAGUGUGUACUACAGGAGUGUGUACUACAGGAGUGUGCACUACAGAUGACACUACAGAGGGAGCAGGGGGUGAGACACCUGUAGAACAAAGGAGAAGCAAUGGCACAAAGGUCUCCUCCAAGCUGGGGCCCUCAUCGGUCAGACAGCUGCCCCAGGUCAAGGGCAGGGGGGCCGGGGGAGCGAGCAACACCGGGGGACCUUCCCUGUCUCCCACCUCUCCAGCUCCAGUAGGAGGGAGUUCUGGCUCCAGGCUGCCCCCUCCCGCUCCUCCUACGACGGGGAAGGACGGCCAGACCACUGGGAGUGUGUCUCCACCGAGAGGACGACCAAGUCAGACAGCUGGUAUCCCCAAGCCACGUGUCACAGACAGACCCUCUGGAUUGCCUGGGCCUACUGUGGUGACCUCUAACCCAAAGCCAUCCGUCAACCAGGGGUUAGGUGCUGCUCGCCCUUCGGCUGCUGCCGCCGCCGUGUCCAAACUGCCCGUGAAGAACCUACCCACAAGCCUUAGCUCCUCUUCUCUGGGCAGCGCCGCCAGCGAGAGUAACGGAUCUUCAGCAGCCCCCAGCAAACUCCCAGCUCCAGUGGUGGGGGGCUGUAAGCCAGAUGAGAGGCCCAGCCAGCCUACAGCUCCAGUGGUGGGGGGCUGUAAGCCAGAUGAGAGGCCCAGCCAGCCUACAGCUCCAGGGGGAACCCAGGGGUCGAUUAAGGCCCCCACCACUACCAGGCCACUGGGGUUCCGAACCAGAGCCCCUCACUACCAGGGAGAAGCACUGCAACAGGGCUGAAGACUCCAGCGGUGACCAGCCAGGUAGCAGGCAAGCAGGCCCAGAACCCCCUUCAGAGGGCCGGCUCGGCCAGAUUCAACCGCCCCGCAGCUGCUGCCACAGUGGACAAGAACAAAGCUCGGGGGGCGCCGUUGGCGAGGACCC